This 312-nucleotide long non-coding RNA is filed under the name Bos taurus (domestic cattle). Its description in RNAcentral is "long non-coding RNA NONBTAT011820". The record is from RNAcentral. Lineage: Eukaryota; Metazoa; Chordata; Mammalia; Artiodactyla; Bovidae.
CUGCCAUCUCGAGAAAUUGCUAAGACAGGCCCCAUCCUUUCAGGAAGUAUGGUUGCUGUCUUCUAGCAGACAGUAGAGUUGGGUACCAGAGGGAUGCCCUUGAUGGUGAGUCUCUUCGCAAGGUGCAAAGGUUGGGGUGGGCCUGUCUGAGGGGGCAAUUAGAACAAUGGUACCAGGAGCCAUCAGCAAGGGGCCUCCGGUCAGGUCCCAGUGUGGACUCUUGGGGGCUAAUCUUUCUAAUAUGGCCGUGGUUCUGACUUGAAUCAAGAAUUCCUAAUAGCUGAUAAAAUCAGACCUCAUUGCUGUCUAAUC